GGACUACUGGGGUUUCUAAUCCCGUUCGCUCCCCUGGCUUUCGCGCCUCAGCGUCAGAUCGGGUCCAGCAAGCCGCCUUCGCCACCGGAGUUCCUGUGGAUCUCAACGCAUUUCACCGCUCCACCCACAGUUCCGCUUGCCCCUACCCGCCUCCAGGCCGCCAGUAUCCAUGGCCGUUCCCCGGUUGAGCCGGGGGAUUUCACCACGGACUUGGCAGCCCGCCUACGCGCCCUUUAAGCCCAGUGAUUCCGAACAACGUUCGCACGGUUCGUCUUACCGCGGCUGCUGGCAC
RNAcentral lists this ribosomal RNA (292 nucleotides) under uncultured bacterium. RNAcentral's name for it is "partial 16S ribosomal RNA". The record is from RNAcentral. RNAcentral also lists the same sequence under 2 other names.